Molecule: ribosomal RNA, 383 nt
Filed under: uncultured eukaryote
Lineage: Eukaryota
Description: partial 18S ribosomal RNA
Rfam family: Eukaryotic small subunit ribosomal RNA
Source: RNAcentral
CAAUAGCGUAUAUUAAAGUUGUUGCAGUUAAAAAGCUCGUAGUUGGAUUUCUGGUGGGAGCGAUCGGUCUGGCGCUUAGCGCGAGUACUUGCAUCGUCUCCGGCCAUCCUUGGGGAGAGUCUGUCUGGCAUUAGGUUGUCGGGCAGAGGAUCCUCAUCGUUUACUGUGAAAAAAUUAGAGUGUUCAAAGCAGGCUUAUGCCGUUGAAUGUAUUAGCAUGGAAUAAUAAGAUAGGACUUUGGUACUAUUUUGUUGGUUUGCGCACCAAAGUAAUGAUUAAUAGGGACAGUUGGGGGUAUUCGUAUUCCGUUGUCAGAGGUGAAAUUCUUGGAUUUACGGAAGACGAACUACUGCGAAAGCAUUUACCAAGGAUGUUUUCAUUAA